This is a long non-coding RNA of Anarrhichthys ocellatus (wolf-eel), 1611 nucleotides long. RefSeq lists it as uncharacterized. The transcript is spliced from 5 exons. The record is from RefSeq and is a predicted model, not a curated record. Lineage: Eukaryota; Metazoa; Chordata; Actinopteri; Perciformes; Anarhichadidae.
CUGAGAGCGGAGCAGAGAGCUUUUAAUAAGAGAGGAGAGCUCUCUGUUGGCGAAAGCUUCCUGGCCCAUUCACCGGCUUCUGAAAGCCGCUGUCAUGGCAACCGCGUAUGACUGGCAGAAAACAGACCGCAGUCUCUGGAGCCGGAGUCAAGCGAGACGCUUCAGAGCACACACACUCUCUCCUGGGCUGAUGAAGAGCUGUGACAUCGAGACGCCAGUGCCGCCACAGAGUGUGAGGGCCGUGAUGGCGCAUCGGGGGUAUCAACCCCUGCUUCCCACUGGAAACAAAUACCUGCAGCAGAAAUUUGGCAUGGCUUCAUAUGAUUUACACAGGGGGAUAGGACAAACAUAUACCCUACUUUGGUGAAGUCAGCCAAACCAACAAUCAACACGACUCCACCAAAGACCUAUAGUCACCUGACAAUCAAGCUGAAGAACCUAAAGGUGGCUGUUUUCUCUCUCACGUUUUCACGUUUUCAACUGCUCACAUUACGUCCACAGGGUGGCAGCAGAUGUAUCAGUGCCUAAAACCACCCAGUGAAGCCUCAAACUAUGAGAAAUGAAUAGUGCAGUGAAUAUAAGAAUGUUUUUAAAUCUCAACCUGAAUACUGUGUGGCAAUGUCCAAUCCUGUGUUAUUGCAUUGAGCUUGAAGAAGAUUUGGCAAUGACGAUUCAGAGGAAGAACAAUAUGCUCGUGGAGAAAAUAUCGCACAUCAUGAGGACAAGUGGAGGAGUUGACAACAGGAAUUAUUACGAUUCAAAAAGGUCGGUUGAGGUUGUGGUAGAACUAUCGAUGUAAAAGUACAUAUGAAAGUGAAGCAACAAGUAAUGGCGAGAAAUAAGGUGGCCCUUGACACUGAACACAGUCGUAAAGCCUGUGUUUACUCUUCAUAGCAGCCUUGGCGCGGAGAGGCGACAACUGGAGCUGCUCCGUAUUACCAAGGAGAAUCAAAUGAUCCUGUUCCGUUUCAGCCAGUGCAGCUCUCAUUAUAAUCUCAGGAGCUGGCAUAAGGGCUGGCUCAAAACUCUCAAAGUGAUGGACAGCAUUACACAUUACCCACAAUGCAGGACAAGCCAGCAAAAGGGACAAGAAAAACACGGCAAGAAGCGCAGUGAUGAUAAUGAAGAACAGAAGAUCAGCGCUGGUGCAAACAUACACAGUCCUGCAAGCAACAACGUCAAUGGCAAAGCAGAGUCUGGGUAAAAUGAAAAGAGGAAAGAAACCAGCAAGAAAGAAGGUUCAAGAAGAGAGAUACAGCAGGACAUAGUAACAUACCCUGAACCAAAUGCAACUGAGAAAUACAUCUCACAGGAUACACCUGAGAAUCCUGGUUACUGAAGAGGGAUAACAUGUUUUAUUCUUUUAGUAAACUUCUUCUUUCUUCACAUUAAAGAGACUCUUUGUGCCACUAUAGGCAGUUUUGAAAAGUACAUAUAUGUACAGAGAAACUGGACCUAAAUCUUGCAUGGCACUCUAAAAUAGAGAAGUAGUAGUUUUGUAUAGGCUGUGUACCGAGUUAAAUUCAUAUGUCUGUGGUUUAUGUAAUUGUCACAAACUGCAUGAUAACCAUUUGUAUUGUUUCUUUCACAGCACAAAACAACAAUAAAUAA